CUGCUGUUGAGUGAGAUUGAAAGGAAACACAUUGAAUGAGGAAAAAACUAACAUACAGUCAUCAAUAUCCUUGUAUAACCUAGUUUUUGAAAAAUUGGAUUUCAAAGCUGGAGAACAAAAGACAUAUAAACCUUAGAUAUCAAGCAUAAUAGAGGUGUCAGUAUAUUUGAAGGAUUGAAGGAAUAAAUGUAAGCACUUGAAGAACUAAAUGUGUUUAACCAAAAUCAAACAGUGGAGACAAGAAAACAAAAUUAUCUUCCCUUCCAAAUCCAAAAAGAUGAAAACGACUGAGAUACUUUCAAAAGACAACCAAGUG
RNAcentral lists this small RNA (316 nucleotides) under Pongo abelii (Sumatran orangutan). Its description in RNAcentral is "processed transcript". The record is from RNAcentral. Lineage: Eukaryota; Metazoa; Chordata; Mammalia; Primates; Hominidae.